Molecule: long non-coding RNA, 86 nt
Organism: Etheostoma spectabile (orangethroat darter)
Lineage: Eukaryota; Metazoa; Chordata; Actinopteri; Perciformes; Percidae
Exons: 3
Source: RefSeq, a predicted model, not a curated record
CAGUUGUUUACGGUGAGUUUUAUCCGGGUUUUUGCUUCGAAGGCUCUAUAGAAAUCUGGCUCCCUAUUGAACGAAAUUCAACUGAG